AACAAGGCGUACCUGCGGACCUGCGGAAGGAUCAUCAUCGAAUUCAUAUCCCCCUCCUCUCCCGGAGGGGGACCCAUGAUAAACCCUUCUGUGCACCGUAAACCGUUCACUUUGGCAGGCUUUGGUGGUGGGCGUGAGCUCGCCUCCAACCUCGCGUUCCUCCCUCCCUAUAAGGGUGUUAUGCGUGGCGGCCUGCCGGAGUCCUAUUAAAAAACUCGUUUUCGAACACGUCUGAAAAUU
RNAcentral lists this unclassified non-coding RNA (240 nucleotides) under soil metagenome. Its description in RNAcentral is "partial contains 5.8S ribosomal RNA, internal transcribed spacer 2, and large subunit ribosomal RNA". The record is from RNAcentral.